Molecule: long non-coding RNA, 1129 nt
Organism: Esox lucius (northern pike)
Lineage: Eukaryota; Metazoa; Chordata; Actinopteri; Esociformes; Esocidae
Source: Ensembl
GUAGAAAUUCAACAACCUGUAUGCCUACAAGGACGCACAAGGACAUUGAGGAUGCUCACCCCCUGCUCAGCCCAUCAAACUAAUUUUCUCUCCAGCACGUCCCAUUUAUUCUGAUGGCAUGUGUCCCGGCCAAGGAAAUGUGGCACGGAAAUAAUUGAAAAAACUGAAGCAAAACUUAAGCAUGGACAAAUAAUAACAAUAAAAACGACACAGGCAUUUUUUCCCCCGGGAGAAAUGUCAGUGAGUUUUCACCUUUCCUGUUAGAAGAUAAGCAAAGUGACAGCAGUGGAAGAGGUGGUAUCACAGGGCGUACAGAAGCACCACAGGAAAUCCCAUCCUGAGAAGACAGGUCCUAAGCCUCAGAGGACUUCACUAUGCAGUAGCUGUGAAAAAGUUGUCUGUCUGACACACACAUCUUCUCUAGUGGGACUUGUGACAGACAGACUGCUGGGGGAAAAUCCCUUUGCCUCAUUUCUCCCCAUUACCCAGUAGGCCCUGCAGGACCGUGCACAGACCUUUUGAGAGGCAUGUGCUGAGACUGAAAAAAUGGGCGGAGUUGUCGGCUCACACGGACGGACAAUGUGUCGGAGUGCGUGACGCAUGACAAAGACGGAUGACAUAUACCCGUGGGAGUGCGUGACACCGGUCACGAAGAUGGACGGGCACAUGCCAACUGGAAAGAACACUAUAUAACAAACGGGUACGUGCUCUGCACAGGUUGAGCCUUAUCUGUGCAUGAGGCCCUGGGAGACUGGAGGAAACACUGGGAUGGAGUUCUGUGAAUGAUACAGUAUAUGGGAAGGAGGUCUGUGAAGAACAUAGUAUAUGGGAAGGAGGUCUGUGUAGUGGUGGUAAAGGCACCUGGUUUUGUCAAAAGUUUCAUUGUAAAAAGGGGUUGAGAAUCCUGAAUCCCGAUUGGCUGAAAAGGUUUAUGCGAUUGUAUACCACAGGUAUGACAUAAUUUAACGUUUUACUCUUGGAAUUGAGUUGGUAUACGGUUUAUAAUGGCAAUCACAGACAUCUAAGUGCUGUACCAAGGAACUCUGUACUACGUGAUACCUGAGAACAGCUACCAGCCUUGAUAAAUUGUUCAUACAAAAUAAAACUGUGCAUUUUUAUUUUUAAAAAC